CUAGGUAUUCUGGGGCCAUAUAUCCCCUGUGAAAUUGUAAAAAUCAUAUCUCAGCAAAUGAUGGCUACUGACUUGGUUAUGGGCAAAUGGUAGACUAAUCCCUCUGCCGUCCCUAUAAUUAUCUCAAAUCUCUUCUCCCAGUUAAGUGCUUUACCUUUAUUUGCAUC
Coffea eugenioides is the source of this 167-nucleotide long non-coding RNA. RefSeq lists it as uncharacterized. The transcript is spliced from 2 exons. Lineage: Eukaryota; Viridiplantae; Streptophyta; Magnoliopsida; Gentianales; Rubiaceae. The record is from RefSeq and is a predicted model, not a curated record.